UACGUAGGGGGCAAGCGUUGUCCGGAUUUAUUGGGCGUAAAGAGCGUGUAGGCGGCCAGAUAGGUCCGUUGUGAAAACUGGAGGCUUAACCUCCAGCUGUCGAUGGAAACCAUCUGGCUAGAGUCCGGAAGAGGAGAGUGGAAUUCCUGGUGUAGCGGUGAAAUGCGCAGAUAUUCGCAAGAACACCAGUGGCGAAGGCGGCUCACUGGCCCGGUACUGACGCUGAGGCACGAAAGCGUGGGGAGCAAACAGG
This 253-nucleotide ribosomal RNA is filed under the name uncultured bacterium. RNAcentral's name for it is "partial 16S ribosomal RNA". It matches the Rfam family "Bacterial small subunit ribosomal RNA", at positions 524 to 776 of the family's 1533-position model. The record is from RNAcentral.